This is a non-coding RNA of Nomascus leucogenys (northern white-cheeked gibbon), 483 nucleotides long. The record is from the annotation of a RefSeq genome assembly. NCBI's taxonomy places the organism in Eukaryota, Metazoa, Chordata, Mammalia, Primates, Hylobatidae.
GACUCCUCAGUUCACCUUCUCACCAUGAGGCUCCCUGCUCAGCUCCUGGGGCUGCUAAUGCUCAGUCUCCCUGGGACCAGUGAGGAUACUGUGAUGACCCAGACUCCACUCUGCCUGCCUGUCACCCCUGGAGAGCCGGCCUCCAUCUCCUGCAGGUCUAGUCAGAGCCUCCUGCAUAGUGAUGGAUACACCUAUUUGGAUUGGUUCCUGCAGAAGCCAGGGCAGCCUCCACAGCUCCUGAUCUAUGAGGUUUCCUAUCGGGUCUCUGGAGUCCCAGACAAGUUCAGUGGCAGUGGGUCAGGCACUGAUUUCACACUGAAAAUCAGCAGGGUGGAGGCUGAGGAUGUUGGGGUUUAUUACUGCAUGCAAGCUACACAAGCUCUUCUCACAGUGCUACAUCCUCAAACAGAAACCUCCGUGCUGGGUUGGCCCAGAUGCCCACAUGUGCUGCUUGUCUGGGGAGCAGCUGAGCAGAGUCUCUGA